GUAGGGAAUUUUGCGCAAUGGGCGAAAGCCUGACGCAGCAACACCGCGUGAAUGUUAAGCCCUUCGGGGUGUAAAGUUCUGUCAAUAGGGACGAAUUUUGACUGUACCUAUAAAGGAAGCACCGGCUAACUCCGUGCCAGCAGCCGCGGUAAUACGGGGGGUGCAAGCGUUGUCCGGAAUCAUUGGGCGUAAAGCGUUCGUAGGCGGCAAGGUAAGUCUGAUGUUAAAGCCCGGGGCUCAACUCCGGUUCGGCAUUGGAUACUAUCUAGCUAGAAUGUGGUAGAGGUAAAGGGAAUUCCUGGUGUAGCGGUGAAAUGCGUAGAUAUCAGGAGGAACAUCGGUGGCGAAAGCGCUUUACUGGGCCAUUAUUGACGCUGAGGAACGAAAGCCAGGGGAGCAAACAGGA
RNAcentral lists this ribosomal RNA (406 nucleotides) under uncultured bacterium. Its description in RNAcentral is "bacterial SSU rRNA". It matches the Rfam family "Bacterial small subunit ribosomal RNA", at positions 354 to 777 of the family's 1533-position model. The record is from RNAcentral.